Long non-coding RNA from Pteronotus mesoamericanus, 1092 nucleotides. RefSeq lists it as uncharacterized. NCBI's taxonomy places the organism in Eukaryota, Metazoa, Chordata, Mammalia, Chiroptera, Mormoopidae. The transcript is spliced from 3 exons. The record is from RefSeq and is a predicted model, not a curated record.
CUGGCCCCGGUUAGAGCAAGGGGACAUGGAGGAUUUGGAAAUCUUUAGGCAGGAUCAGAGAAAGAACACAGGAGGAUUAAAGCCUUCGAAAAAUGUGUCCUCUGGGAGAAAGUUAAAGACAUGGAAUUCCUCGGGCUAGAGGAGGACAUAGGAAGAUGGAUCUAGCCUCGAUCUCCUGGCAUUUGAGCAACUGUUUUAUAGAGACUGCGGCAGUCUUAGAUGAACGUCUCUGUUGCAAAGAAUGAAGGCCUGCUCCAGGAACGCCCUGACGUGUAGAAUUUACUGCAAUGUACAUAUUCUCACCAUGGCUGAUGUAAAGCUACCCAAUGUGGUGUUACUGAACGUGGAAUUGAGAAGAGCUGCACAAUGACAUCGUGGUGCUCAUAGAACAAGCCUUUCUCUUCUGUUCAAAGCUUGAGCAGCCCUUUAGAUGAAGAAGCAGCAGCAGUGAUCACUGCAUGCUUUAGAGUUCCCUCCCCUGCCUUGGACGUCUGGCAUCUCACUUUUCUCGCCAGCAACCUAGGAGGAGAGGAUGCCAUCCUAAUUGUAACAUCGGAGCCACUGAGACCCACAGAUGUUAGAUGAUUUGCUCCAGAUCACAACUGAGGCUCAAACCCAUCACUUGGCCACAAAUCUUGUACCUCAUCUAUAUCAAUCUGUCUCUGUCAAACCUAACAAGCUAAUCAAUUUUUCCUAUCCAUAAACCAGACACCUUUUGAUAUAAAAAGCCAAUUGAUCUCCAAAAAAACCAAAAGGCCAGUUCCAGUUGUCAAAUGCUACAGACUAGUGAGUCUCUUCCCCAAGUUCUAUGAGAAGCUCAAAGAUCCUGAGUUUCAAAGCCAGCCAAAUUUGGAUUUCCUCUAUAAAGAAAGAGUCACUCCCUGUUUGGAACGUACCCUUCCUCAUUAAGCUAGUUCCAUGUUUUGUAAUAACUUUUGCUUACAACACAGAAUUGUCACAGAUCAUGGAAACACACAGGCCUUGGGGGGAAAAAAGGUCCCGAGGCCCCUGGAAGUCAUUAUUCCUUCCUUUAGCAAUUGCUGAGUUAAGCACCAAAAAUAUGGUUCCCAUCUUGCUCCCUUUCCCCCCCAC